Small nucleolar RNA from Suncus etruscus (white-toothed pygmy shrew), 134 nucleotides. The record is from RefSeq and is a predicted model, not a curated record. Lineage: Eukaryota; Metazoa; Chordata; Mammalia; Eulipotyphla; Soricidae.
AACCAAAAUGUUAAACUUAGAUCAAGGUUACUUCCCUGUUCUGGUAAUUAAACUUUUGGAUGUUAAAACAAAGGAUGAGAAAGAUGAUUAGGUAGAAGUUCUUUCUCUAUUAAUUUUCCUUCCAGCCUACCCAA